CGAGGAAUCUUGCGCAAUGGGGGAAACCCUGACGCAGCAACGCCGCGUGAGUGAGGAAGGUCUUCGGGUCGUAAAGCUCUGUCAGGCGGGAAGAAAUGGAUGGAGGUGAACAGCCGCCAUGCUUGACGGUACCGCCAGAGGAAGCACCGGCUAACUCCGUGCCAGCAGCCGCGGUAAUACGGGGGGUGCAAGCGUUGUUCGGAUUCAUUGGGCGUAAAGAGCGUGUAGGCGGCUUGGUAAGUCAGAUGUGAAAGCCCUGGGCUCAACCCGGGAAGUGCAGUUGAAACUGCCAGGCUCGAGUAGGGGAGAGGGAAGUGGAAUUCCUGGUGUAGAGGUGAAAUUCGUAGAUAUCAGGAGGAACACCGGUGGCGAAGGCGACUUCCUGGCCCUAUACUGACGCUGAGACGCGAGAGCGUGGGUAGCAAACAG
Molecule: ribosomal RNA, 429 nt
Filed under: uncultured bacterium
Lineage: Bacteria
Description: bacterial SSU rRNA
Rfam family: Bacterial small subunit ribosomal RNA
Source: RNAcentral